ACCUUGAUUGCUCAGUUGAUAGAGCGCAGGACUAUAAGAGAUUCCUCAUAUGAAAUGCUCUGAUCAUAAGGUAGCCGGUUCAACUCCAGCUCAAAGCC
Molecule: non-coding RNA, 98 nt
Organism: Xyrichtys novacula (pearly razorfish)
Lineage: Eukaryota; Metazoa; Chordata; Actinopteri; Labriformes; Labridae
Source: the annotation of a GenBank genome assembly